This 65-nucleotide transfer RNA is filed under the name Tritonia iocasica. RNAcentral describes it as "tRNA-His". Lineage: Eukaryota; Metazoa; Mollusca; Gastropoda; Nudibranchia; Tritoniidae. The record is from RNAcentral.
UAAGAGUUAGUUUUAUAUUAAAAUUUUGACCUGUGGAGUCGAGGAUAGCAGAUAGCUGCUCUUAA